GGCAUAGCCUACUCCGUACCUAGGCUGUAUGGAAUAGCCAAUUACUCCUAGGCUACAAACCUGUACAGUCUGUUACUGUACUGAAUACUGUAGGCAAUUGUAACACAAUGGUACUUGUGUAUCUAAACAUAGAAAGGUACGGUAAAAAUAUGCUAUAAAAUAUAAAAAAUGGCAUACUUGUGUAGGGCACUUACCAUGAAUGGAGCUUGCAGGACUGGAAGUUGCGCUGGAUCCUUAGAAUAUACACAAAGUUUUCAUGGACCACACAUUAUGAAACACUGGAUUAGCGCAAAGUGAAAUGCUUCCAGAGUAGGAGCCACUAUUCUGAGGAAUCUUGGAAGAAAAAUCCCCAGAUAGCAGAUGACUGGUAGGAAGAUGAGGCAAGUUUGCGGUCCAUUGUCAUGGAUAGUGGAGACAACACUGGGCCAGAAGUGGUAAGACCUGAAUCCAAGACUCAGCUCUGCCACUUGCUAAAUGGGACUUUGAAUAAACCAUUUCUCUGCACUUAAGUUCCUUACCAACAAAACGAGGGAAGUGGCCUACAUGCCUAGAUAUCAACAUUUCAUGUCACGUAGAGAUCUAGCAUCACAAGAAUCCAAGUCAUCCUCUGUUGCCUUUAAGAAAUUAGAAUUAAAGGAAUCAGAAUUGAAGUGAAUCUGACUACACUAAGCCUAUCACUUGUGACAGCCAUGGGAAGAUAUCAUUGGUUGCUGAGGAGCAGAAAUAAGCAGAGACCUAUUGUGUUAGGUUAUCAUUCAUUUCAGACAAAAAGCAGAUCAGCAAGUUUUCAUAUUGCACUAUUUUCAAUGGCUGGAGCAUCAACAUUUUACAACAAGAAAAAAAUUAAAAUUCUUCAACAUUUGGAAAAGAAGUGUUUGUAAAACUUUUCACAUCCAUUCACCAUCCGGAAAAGCAAGGUUUUACAGUGAGGCCUGAUGAUGUCUAGAGUCACCAUGCAUCUUGGAAAAUGACCUCCUAUUUAUUUCUUCUACAGGACACCAUGGUGUUCACCUUUCUACAACUUUACACUUGCUGAGGACAUAUUGUGGAAAAUUAAGAGAAAUAUAUAUGGAUGGCCAAGGCUGUAGAUGGAUGUCCAAGCCUUUUUACUGGGGAAUGUUUUCAGAACAAAAUGAGUUACAGGUUCAAGAGUGAAACCCAACAAAUCUUGGCUCUUUUUUUCUCUACUAAAUUCCAAAUCAAAAGUA
Molecule: long non-coding RNA, 1208 nt
Organism: Homo sapiens (human)
Lineage: Eukaryota; Metazoa; Chordata; Mammalia; Primates; Hominidae
Product: long intergenic non-protein coding RNA 2207
Source: Ensembl